RNAcentral lists this long non-coding RNA (1120 nucleotides) under Vulpes vulpes (red fox). RNAcentral's name for it is "lncRNA (ENSVVUG00000022612.1)". Lineage: Eukaryota; Metazoa; Chordata; Mammalia; Carnivora; Canidae. The record is from RNAcentral.
CUGCUGUCCUAUUGGAUGACUGAACUAAAUCCAAAUUCAACCCUCUGGGGGUACAAUCCCAGAAGGAAAGACAAUUUCAUCCUCAGCACCUUAAAGAGAAGUCUCACAUGUAUGCCCUUUAACAGUUAAGGGGCUUUCAAAUUAAGGGUCUGCAUCUCCCUGACCCACCGUUUAAACCUGUCUUCCUUUGUGAGCAACAUCAGCAUAAGUGAUGGAUUUACUGGAGCUCAGCACAUCUCCCACCUCCCCUAGCAGUUUAGUUGGCCCCCAAGUCAAAUCAGGUUAGAGCAAAAUCCUGGGCAAACUAGCCGUGCCUCAGGGCCUUGCCUGAUGAUCCAAUUCCAAAGCAGGGCCCAGUUCCAAAACUUUUGUUCCGAGUUUGAGAGACAUGGCUACAAUACAGUAGAAUACUGUUUGUGCCUUCUCUCUGACAAAGCCAAGGGCAGUGGGGGCCAGAGGCCAGUUUACUAGGACAACAAACCAGCUUCUCUUCUUUCCCUAAAGUAAAAGAGGAAAUGCCUUGGCAGCACCCGUAGGGAGAGGGAGUCCUGGGAAGAAACUGGCUGGUAUCUCUAUCUCUUCUCUUCCGUGUGUGAGGGUUUCUGUCUGGCCCUUCUAAUCUACAGAGUCCCCCAGGCCAGCUGGGCAGCUGCAUUCCAAGGACGAAGUGCCUCUUUGAAGUUGGAAGCUCUAGAUGUCUUGCCCUACGUCUUGCUAAAGCUCUGCAGAAUGAUCAAAAUAACUGAGACUUGAGCUGCCUUCCUUCCAGAAGAGGUUUCCUAGGGCAAGAUGACACACAGCCACAUUUUAUGAGUCCUCCAGACGAGCCAGUUGCAAGGCGGUUGCCAGGCCAAGUAAAAUCCAGAUGGUGUCCUCUGUAUUCCCAAGAGUUUGGGAUUUUGGAGGUGUGACAUGGGGAGCAAAGGAUUUUGGCCAUGGUCUAGCUACAUACCAAAGACUGGACUUCAGUCACAGAAUAAGGUCACACAUUGAACAUUUAGACAAUCAUCAGUUCUUGCCAAGAAAUAACUCAAGAGUUAAGCCGUUACUGAAUCUGCAUUCAACAUUUGUGUCGGAGAUUGAAAUCCAAAAGGUAAUCUUUUUCUCUCAUCCCUCAUAA